Mercurialis annua (annual mercury) is the source of this 493-nucleotide long non-coding RNA. RefSeq lists it as uncharacterized. The transcript has 3 exons. Lineage: Eukaryota; Viridiplantae; Streptophyta; Magnoliopsida; Malpighiales; Euphorbiaceae. The record is from RefSeq and is a predicted model, not a curated record.
UUCAUCAUCAUCACCCAUUCUUCUUCUUCCCUCUCUAUUCAAUUUUAAGACAUGGAGAAAAACUUGGGUUCUUGUAGUUUAAGCUCAAAUUAGCCAUCCUCUACCUAUUGGAGCUUUAAUCAAAGAUUCUACGCUUUAUCGGAUUGGAGAAUUAGAGGAAUUGGAGUUAAGCAACGGGCUAUAUUAUAUUUUGCAUUUGGAAAAUUUGGAUUAAGCGAUCGAGGCGUUCAGUAGAUAGCGAUCAGGUCGAGCCUCCACUCCUUGUUUCGGAAGGCUCCUUACUUUUUGCUUGUACAGCUUCUGACUCUCUAGCGCUGCAGUAGUUCAGGCGUAUACUUUUGUCGAGGUCCUAUUAGCGGUUUAUUGUAUUUUGGUUUAGUAACCGCUCAUGUCUAUAUCUUUUUGUUAGGCCUCGUUUUCUGAUUAACAAACAAACAUCAGAGGUAGCUUUAGUUUAAACGCUUAAUAUGUGUAUUUUGUAAAUGCUUAGAAU